AGUGGAGACAGGAUUACUUCAUCCUGAUGUAAAUCUCUGCGGCCCCCUGCACGCUUCUUCCUCAGAGAGGAGCUGAGCAUAUGGAGCUGGUCUCUGCAGGAGGCUGGAGAAUCUACAGCUACUGUAUAAUCUAUAUAUUUCUCUGGCGUUCAUCGCACACAGCUCGAAGGCGGUUGUGCCGUGUGAGGAAUCCUGAGAAUACCAGGCUGCUUUACUGUUUAUGACAUCACAUGGGCACUGAACACAGAUCAAAGAAGAACCCGUGACAUUUCAGGCAUCUAACUUCAUUCCAUGCUGUCCGCGGCUUCAUCUCCAGACGUGACGACUGCAGGAAGUGCUGCUAUUCUCUCUCUGAGCAGCUGCGAUCUGCGUUUGGAGAGGAGUGAACGAGCGUUUAGUUCUACUGACUGACAAACAAAGCACAGACAAAAGAGAGAGCAGUAUUUUGUCCGAGACGGAAAUUAAUGUCAUGCUAAAGUCAAUCAAUAGGGUUUAUCCAUUAGCUGCAUUGGAUUUCUGAGUGUACACAGGAAGUAGUUUAGCGCUCACAUGAAUGAGAUAUUUAUGUGAUUGACAAUGGUUUAUAUUGAUUAGUGUGAAUAAAGUGUUAGGAAAUCAUAUAUUUCCACUAGGCCACGACACUUUUUUUAUCUCGGGAAUAAAAAGGUACACUCUAACCAUUACUGUAAUUAGAUAUCCGUGAAUAGAUGAGAAUUAAAGAUAAUUUAAAGCAAUUGAGCCGCUUUGAGACGUGAAUGUAUUACUCUGUGAUGAGCUGUUCACAAUUCAGUGUUCCCCUCUAAAACAGCAUUCGUUCUCUGGAGACUCGCUGAUGAAUAUUCAUAAGGUUGUUUCGGAGAUAAAAAGAUAAAUUGGUGUGAACCACAUUAAUUUUUGAAGCACACAAAUGUUAUUUUUGUUGUGUUUAGAGUCUGGAAAUAGAGCUAUAUCCUGAGGACAUGCUGUGAUCUGCUAACUUUGCUCAGAAUGUGAUCUGUCUCUUUAACUUGUAUGUUUCUGUUUGUAUUUUCUGCCGUAAUGAAAUCACUGACAUGUCUAUCAUUUUAAUGAGAGCCUUAUUCAUGUACAUUAAUCAUAUGCAUUUGCCACGCUUAAAUGAAAUGCAUACACAUACAAAUACAUACAUUUUUUU
Cyprinus carpio carpio is the source of this 1153-nucleotide long non-coding RNA. The record is from Ensembl. NCBI's taxonomy places the organism in Eukaryota, Metazoa, Chordata, Actinopteri, Cypriniformes, Cyprinidae.